GACGAACGCUGGCGGCGUGCUUAACACAUGCAAGUCGAACGGAAAGGCCCUGCUUUUGUGGGGUGCUCGAGUGGCGAACGGGUGAGUAACACGUGAGUAACCUGCCCUUGACUUUGGGAUAACUUCAGGAAACUGGGGCUAAUACCGGAUAGGAGCUCCUGCUGCAUGGUGGGGGUUGGAAAGUUUCGGCGGUUGGGGAUGGACUCGCGGCUUAUCAGCUUGUUGGUGGGGUAGUGGCUUACCAAGGCUUUGACGGGUAGCCGGCCUGGGAGGGUGACCGGCCACAUUGGGACUGAGAUACGGCCCAGAAUCCUACGGGAGGCAGCAGUGGGGAAUAUUGCACAAUGGGCGGAAGCCUGAUGCAGCAACGCCGCGUGCGGGAUGACGGCCUUCGGGUUGUAAACCGCUUUCGCCUGUGACGAAGCGUGAGUGACGGUAAUGGGUAAAGAAGCACCGGCCAACUACGUG
This 468-nucleotide ribosomal RNA is filed under the name uncultured bacterium. Its description in RNAcentral is "partial 16S ribosomal RNA". It matches the Rfam family "Bacterial small subunit ribosomal RNA", at positions 28 to 507 of the family's 1533-position model. The record is from RNAcentral.